UGCAAGUCGAACGGUGAAAGAGGAGCUUGCUCCUCUGGAUCAGUGGCGAACGGGUGAGUAACACGUGAGUAACCUGCCCCAGACUCUGGGAUAAGCACUGGAAACGGUGUCUAAUACCGGAUACGAGCUUCAGCCGCAUGGCUAGGAGCUGGAAAGAAUUUCGGUCUGGGAUGGACUCGCGGCCUAUCAGCUAGUUGGUGAGGUAAUGGCUCACCAAGGCGACGACGGGUAGCCGGCCUGAGAGGGUGACCGGCCACACUGGGACUGAGACACGGCCCAGACUCCUACGGGAGGCAGCAGUGGGGAAUAUUGCACAAUGGGCGCAAGCCUGAUGCAGCAACGCCGCGUGAGGGACGACGGCCUUCGGGUUGUAAACCUCUUUUAGUAGGGAAGAAGCGAAAGUGACGGUACCUGCAGAAAAAGCACCGGCUAACUACGUGCCAGCAGCCGCGGUAAUACGUAGGGUGCAAGCGUUAUCCGGAAUUAUUGGGCGUAAAGAGCUCGUAGGCGGUUUGUCGCGUCUGCUGUGAAAACUGGAGGCUCAACCUCCAGCCUGCAGUGGGUACGGGCAGACUAGAGUGCGGUAGGGGAGAUUGGAAUUCCUGGUGUAGCGGUGGAAUGCGCAGAUAUCAGGAGGAACACCGAUGGCGAAGGCAGAUCUCUGGGCCGUAACUGACGCUGAGGAGCGAAAGCAUGGGGAGCGAACAGGAUUAGAUACCCUGGUAGUCCAUGCCGUAAACGUUGGGAACUAGAUGUAGGGACCAUUCCACGGUUUCUGUGUCGCAGCUAACGCAUUAAGUUCCCCGCCUGGGGAGUACGGCCGCAAGGCUAAAACUCAAAGGAAUUGACGGGGGCCCGCACAAGCGGCGGAGCAUGCGGAUUAAUUCGAUGCAACGCGAAGAACCUUACCAAGGCUUGACAUAUACCGGAAAAGUUCAGAAAUGUUCUCCCCGCAAGGUCGGUAUACAGGUGGUGCAUGGUUGUCGUCAGCUCGUGUCGUGAGAUGUUGGGGUUAAGUCCCGCAACGAGCGCAACCCUCGUUCUAUGUUGCCAGCACGUAAUGGUGGGAACUCAUAGGA
Molecule: ribosomal RNA, 1079 nt
Filed under: Frigoribacterium sp. 1056H123
Lineage: Bacteria; Bacillati; Actinomycetota; Actinomycetes; Micrococcales; Microbacteriaceae
Description: bacterial SSU rRNA
Rfam family: Bacterial small subunit ribosomal RNA
Source: RNAcentral